This 75-nucleotide ribosomal RNA is filed under the name Staphylococcus epidermidis. The record is from RNAcentral. Lineage: Bacteria; Bacillati; Bacillota; Bacilli; Caryophanales; Staphylococcaceae. RNAcentral also lists the same sequence under 1 other name.
UCUGGUGACAAUGGCAAGGAGGUCACACCUGUUCCCAUGCCGAACACAGAAGUUAAGCUCCUUAGCGCCGAUGGU